This 161-nucleotide unclassified non-coding RNA is filed under the name soil metagenome. Its description in RNAcentral is "partial internal transcribed spacer 1". The record is from RNAcentral.
UAAUAAGUGUUUUGUGGCACUUUUUUAAAUCCAUAUCCACCUUGUGUGCAAUGUCAGUCGGUUUUUCUUUUUCGUCAAGAAAAAAAAGGAUCGACCAAACAUCAACUUAUUCUAAUUGAACUUUUGUCUGAAAACUAUUAUGAAUAAACUAAUUCAAAAUA